This 20-nucleotide non-coding RNA is filed under the name Arabidopsis thaliana (thale cress). Lineage: Eukaryota; Viridiplantae; Streptophyta; Magnoliopsida; Brassicales; Brassicaceae. The record is from RNAcentral.
UGAGUAUUCAAAUAUCUGCC